AGUUGGUCCGACGGUUGUGGGUUAUUGUUAAACUGAUUAACAUUGUCUUCCCCCACACCCAAAUUUGACUAACUGUGU
This 78-nucleotide Y RNA is filed under the name Octodon degus (degu). Its description in RNAcentral is "Y RNA (ENSODEG00000025277.1)". It matches the Rfam family "Y RNA". Rfam says of the family: Y RNAs are components of the Ro ribonucleoprotein particle (Ro RNP), in association with Ro60 and La proteins. The Y RNAs and Ro60 and La proteins are well conserved, but the function of the Ro RNP is not known. Lineage: Eukaryota; Metazoa; Chordata; Mammalia; Rodentia; Octodontidae. The record is from Rfam by way of RNAcentral.